AGUGAACGCUGGCGGUAGGCCUAACACAUGCAAGUCGAACGGCAGCACAGUAAGAGCUUGCUCUUACGGGUGGCGAGUGGCGGACGGGUGAGGAAUACAUCGGAAUCUACUUUUUCGUGGGGGAUAACGUAGGGAAACUUACGCUAAUACCGCAUACGACCUACGGGUGAAAGCAGGUGAUCUUCGUACCUUGCGCGAUUGAAUGAGCCGAUGUCGGAUUAGCUAGUUGGCGGGGUAAAGGCCCACCAAGGCGACGAUCCGUAGCUGGUCUGAGAGGAUGAUCAGCCACACUGGAACUGAGACACGGUCCAGACUCCUACGGGAGGCAGCAGUGGGGAAUAUUGGACAAAGGGCGCAAGCCUGAUCCAGCCAUACCGCGUGGGUGAAGAAGGCCUUCGGGUUGUAAAGACCUUUUGUUGGGAAAGAAAAGCAGCAGGUUAAUACCCCGCUGUUCUGACGGUACCCAAAGAAUAAGCACCGGCUAACUUCGUG
RNAcentral lists this ribosomal RNA (492 nucleotides) under uncultured bacterium. RNAcentral's name for it is "partial 16S ribosomal RNA". It matches the Rfam family "Bacterial small subunit ribosomal RNA", at positions 29 to 507 of the family's 1533-position model. The record is from RNAcentral.